CGAUAGCGCAGAGCGCAUAAAGGGGGAGCCGAGGGGAGUCACAAGGGACAGCGGCCCUAGGGGCGGGAGCACACGGCGACCAGACCCCCCGGGGUGGGGGCACAAGGAAACACUCCCCAAGCAUUACUGACUGAAUCAGACCCAAUUUAAAUGAGAAAGUUCUUCUUUAUGGAGGAAUCGGUGAUCAGCAUGAUGAAAAAAGGCAUGUGUUAAAAGAAAAGGGCUUCCCAAAAGGAUGGAGGUACCAGGACAUCAGCUGAAAAAUCCUGUUGAAACAAGUCAGACUCUGGACAAAAAGCCAACAGAAAAGACAGUAAAAGAAGAAUACAGUAAAACAAAGGUUCGUUAUGUGACAACGUUCUGCUGUCAGUGGAAAAAAAAUUAGGAGUUUGUUAUCAUUGGCAGGACUUUUACACGCUUCCCUUGCCAAGGAAGUGUAGGCAUGUAUCAGGGCAGUUACUUUAUAUUAAGAAAUGAA
Long non-coding RNA from Chelonia mydas (Green sea turtle), 478 nucleotides. RefSeq lists it as uncharacterized. Lineage: Eukaryota; Metazoa; Chordata; Testudines; Cheloniidae. The record is from RefSeq and is a predicted model, not a curated record. The transcript is spliced from 3 exons.